UACGUAGGGGGCAAGCGUUGUCCGGAAUCAUUGGGCGUAAAGCGCGUGUAGGCGGCCCGGUAAGUCCGCUGUGAAAGUCGGGGGCUCAACCCUCGAAUGCCGGUGGAUACUGUCGGGCUCGAGUGCGGAAGAGGCGAGUGGAAUUCCUGGUGUAGCGGUGAAAUGCGCAGAUAUCAGGAGGAACACCGAUUGCGAAGGCAGCUCGCUGGGACGUUACUGACGCUGAGACGCGAAAGCGUGGGGAGCAAACAGG
Molecule: ribosomal RNA, 253 nt
Filed under: uncultured bacterium
Lineage: Bacteria
Description: partial 16S ribosomal RNA
Rfam family: Bacterial small subunit ribosomal RNA
Source: RNAcentral